UACGUAGGGUGCAAGCGUUGUCCGGAAUUAUUGGGCGUAAAGAGCUCGUAGGCGGUUUGUCGCGUCUGCUGUGAAAACCCGAGGCUCAACCUCGGGCCUGCAGUGGGUACGGGCAGACUAGAGUGCGGUAGGGGAGAUUGGAAUUCCUGGUGUAGCGGUGAAAUGCGCAGAUAUCAGGAGGAACACCGGUGGCGAAGGCGGGUCUCUGGGCCGUAACUGACGCUGAGGCGCGAAAGCUAGGGGAGCAAACAGG
Molecule: ribosomal RNA, 253 nt
Filed under: uncultured bacterium
Lineage: Bacteria
Description: partial 16S ribosomal RNA
Rfam family: Bacterial small subunit ribosomal RNA
Source: RNAcentral